RNAcentral lists this ribosomal RNA (460 nucleotides) under uncultured bacterium. RNAcentral's name for it is "partial 16S ribosomal RNA". It matches the Rfam family "Bacterial small subunit ribosomal RNA", at positions 338 to 795 of the family's 1533-position model. The record is from RNAcentral.
CCUACGGGUGGCAGCAGUGGGGAAUAUUGGUCAAUGGGCGCGAGCCUGACCCAGCCAAGUAGCGUGAAGGAUGACUGCCCUCCGGGUUGUAACCUCUUUUUAUAGAGGAGUAAAGUGAGGCACGUGUGCCUUAUUGUACGUCCUUUAACAAUAAGGCAGCGCUAACUCCGUGCCAGCAGCCGCGGUAAUACGGAGGAUCUGAGCGUUAUCCGGAUUUAGUGGGUGUAAAGGGAGCGUAGAUGGGAUGUUAAGUCAGUUGUGAAAGUUUGCGGCUCAACCGUAAGAUUGCAAUUGAUACUGGCAGCCUUGAGUACAGGUGAGGUAGGCGGAAUUCGUGGUGUAGCGGUGAAAUGCGUAGAUAUCACGAAGAACACCGAUUGCGAAGGCAGCUUACUAAACUGCCACUGACGUUGAGGCUCGAAAGUGUGGGGAGCAAACAGGAUUAGAUACCCGAGUAGUC